CAUUGCUUGAUUUAGAACAAGCUUCCCGGUUUAUUUCUGUCUGCUCCUUUCUGCAGGUCUUCCACUAAUCCUCCGCUGUCCUUAACGCACCGGCAGACUGAAUGCCCUCACGUGUUGGCUGGAGGUGCCCCUCGUACGGUUUGAGACAGAGUUUGUCUGGAGCUGGGGAUGUAGGAACCUAUGGGCCAGAGGAUUCUCCCUGCAGAAAGGCUGACCAGCUGGUUUGGAGAGUCCAAGAUGGAGGUUUGGACCCUUGGGUAUUAGAAACGCCCCUUGAGCCCUUUCUCUGGUGUGGCUGACCCCACCCUGUCUCCCCACCUGCCCACCUCUCCUUGUUAGACCCCAACCUCCGCUCCUGCCCUGUCUCUAUGGACACAGCAGCCAUACUGAAUCAGCCUCCUCAUCCCAAAUCGAGGAUGCCUGACCCCAAAUUGCCGUUUGGUAAUGGAUGGUAGUGAUGGUAGCACAACAUUGUGAACAUAAUUAACAGCACUGAAUUAUGUAUGUGAAUGUGACUAAAAGGGGAC
RNAcentral lists this long non-coding RNA (527 nucleotides) under Dasypus novemcinctus (nine-banded armadillo). RNAcentral describes it as "lncRNA (ENSDNOG00000050577.1)". The record is from RNAcentral. Lineage: Eukaryota; Metazoa; Chordata; Mammalia; Cingulata; Dasypodidae.